UCAUGUUCUCUAGUAAACCUCUGGGACCUUCACAGAAGAGCUGGAUAUAUCCACAAAAUUCCUGAAUUUAUGCCAUUACCUCGGAUUUGUAGUGGAAGCCGGUAUUUUACUUCGGCUUGCGCAGUUGUUUACGGUUGCGGGGUUACAUAUUUGCUAUUGAUUAACGUUUCUUACACACCAGUCUUUUUACCUGGCAUAAACGGCAACACAUCGGAGGUGGCUACACUGUAGUCUGCUGUCCUCCUUCUGGUCUUCAGUCCUCUGACUCCUUGUUUCCUGGACUUCACUGACGAGGUCACCCCAAGAUCCCUUCCGAAGAAUCUCCUCACUGCUGCUGUCCCCUGGAACCACUGCCUGGACCAUCCCUCACACCAACCUCACCUGUCCACCCUCCAACACCACCUCUCCGUCAUCAUCCCCAUCUUCCUCUUGGGACAAAGAAACAAACACCAUGAGCAAACCAUUCAUCACAGCACGUUCUGUAAAUCUCAGCCCCUGUGGAUAUACUCACCACUCUUCCGAGAUCCUCUGUGACUCUGCCAUCAUAUUGUCCAGGAACCCGCUCCUGAAACCUGGAAGAAACAUUUUGUGUUGUGUCAAACUGUUUAAACCUUCCCUUGUCAUCCUUGCUUGUUGCCUGCACAAGGGUCUCAUUACAAACCAUUAUUACAUAUUCCAAAUCUUACAACACUGACAAACAAAGGCAUGCUAGGAACCCAAAAAUAUGAGAUAAAAAAUGAGGACAAUAUGAGCCAGGAGCAACAGGGAAUCCAGCAAGACGUGACACAAAGAGAGAGCACUUUCACUGGGAAGAUUGAUUAGUGGAAGAAUUAACUGGUCAGUCUAAUUAACUAAAUGUGCUGCAGCUGGGGAAUAACCUGAACGGGAGCAACUGAGGAAGGCUGGAGAUUAACACAGAAACCAUGAGACAUUCCAUAGAAACAUUGAGGAAAUAACUGAUUAAUAUGGACAUACACAGGGAAACACAAGAAUAUUAAAGCACAAGGAAAAACAUAGAACCAAAUUCCACAACACAAAACAAAUAUUAAUUGAAUGGAAAACAACUUAAUGUAACUUACAGCCGUUAUUAAUUUGUUUUUCUACAUGGAAGCUAUACAUGGCCAGUUGUUUCUGUUUAGUUGGUCCAUCAGUUGAGCAACAGUUGCCAGUAACUUUAUAUUCUGUCUCUAUAGGAUACACCUGUGUUUCUGUAUUGUACUCUGUCUCUCUUCUAGAUAUAAUUGAAGGAGCUAUUACUGCUUCUAACCCACUAGCUAUAUGCACUUUGUUUUAAUCCUAUAGAUCCUUAACUGGCUUACAGUUUUUCUGUUUAGCUGUUUCUCUCUCUCCUAGAUGAAGCCACUAAAAGAACUGUGGCCAUUAACUCCCUACUUUAACAUAUAAAGUGCUCCUUGACAAGUACUUCUGU
Molecule: long non-coding RNA, 1429 nt
Organism: Girardinichthys multiradiatus
Lineage: Eukaryota; Metazoa; Chordata; Actinopteri; Cyprinodontiformes; Goodeidae
Exons: 3
Source: RefSeq, a predicted model, not a curated record